AAUGAACGUUGGCGGCGUGGAUUAGGCAUGCAGGUCGAGCGCGAACCCCGCAAGGGGUGAAAGCGGCGAAAGGGAGAGUAACGCGUGGGUAUUUACCCUCGGGACUGGGAUAGCUGCGGGAAACUGCAGGUAAUACCAGAUGACGUCCCCGGACCAAAGGUGUGAUUCCGCCUGAGGAUAAGCCCGCGUCCUAUUAGCUAGUUGGUGAGGUAAUGGCUCACCAAGGCAAUGAUGGGUACUGGGUGUGAGAGCACGACCCAGCUCACUGGGACUGAGACACUGCCCAGACGCCUACGGGUGGCUGCAGUCGAGAAUCUUCGGCAAUGGGCGCAAGCCUGACCGAGCGACGCCGCGUGUGGGAUGAAGGCCUUCGGGUUGCAAACCGCUGUCAGAGGGGAGGAAUGGGCGGAGGGUAAUCUCUUCGUUUUGACCUAUCCUCAGAGGAAGUACGGGCUAACUCCGUGCCAGCAGCCGCCGUAA
RNAcentral lists this ribosomal RNA (480 nucleotides) under uncultured bacterium. RNAcentral's name for it is "partial 16S ribosomal RNA". It matches the Rfam family "Bacterial small subunit ribosomal RNA", at positions 28 to 523 of the family's 1533-position model. The record is from RNAcentral.